RNAcentral lists this transfer RNA (89 nucleotides) under Candidatus Dojkabacteria bacterium. Its description in RNAcentral is "tRNA-Ser". It matches the Rfam family "tRNA". From Rfam's summary of the family: Transfer RNA (tRNA) molecules are approximately 80 nucleotides in length. The record is from RNAcentral.
GGAGAGGUGCUAGAGUGGUUGAAUAGGGUACACUCGAAAUGUACUGUUAGACUUCUUUCUAACCGUGGGUUCGAAUCCCACCCUCUCCG